This 253-nucleotide ribosomal RNA is filed under the name uncultured bacterium. RNAcentral describes it as "partial 16S ribosomal RNA". It matches the Rfam family "Bacterial small subunit ribosomal RNA", at positions 524 to 776 of the family's 1533-position model. The record is from RNAcentral.
UACGGAGGGUGCGAGCGUUAUCCGGAUUUACUGGGUUUAAAGGGUGCGUAGGUGGGCUGGUAAGUCAGUGGUGAAAUCUCCAGGCUUAACUUGGAAACUGCCAUUGAUACUAUCAGUCUUGAAUACCGUGGAGGUCAGCGGAAUAUGUCAUGUAGCGGUGAAAUGCUUAGAUAUGACAUAGAACACCAAUUGCGAAGGCAGCUGGCUACACGAAUAUUGACACUGAUGCACGAAAGCGUGGGGAUCAAACAGG